Long non-coding RNA from Schistocerca nitens (vagrant locust), 286 nucleotides. RefSeq lists it as uncharacterized. NCBI's taxonomy places the organism in Eukaryota, Metazoa, Arthropoda, Insecta, Orthoptera, Acrididae. The transcript has 2 exons. The record is from RefSeq and is a predicted model, not a curated record.
UCAUGCUACAUUACUCUUACAGCUACCCAGAUGAGAGUGUACCGCAGAUGAUUAUACCUACUGGGCAUGAACUAUUUCUUCCUAUGUGGCCACAGAUUAUAGACACUGAAGAGGCAGUAAGAGACCUUCAGCCAUACAAACGAAGCUAUGAUGGCUGCUAUUUUGAAGAUGAAUUGAAACUAGCUACAAUGAAAAGAUAUACAUACAAAAACUGUUUAAUGGAGCGUCAUAUGGAUGCUUCUGUCAAACUCUGUGGUUGUUUGCCUUUUACAUUCCCUAACAAAGG